RNAcentral lists this ribosomal RNA (255 nucleotides) under uncultured bacterium. RNAcentral's name for it is "partial 16S ribosomal RNA". It matches the Rfam family "Bacterial small subunit ribosomal RNA", at positions 81 to 334 of the family's 1533-position model. The record is from RNAcentral.
CUCCCGGGCGUCGAGCGGCGGACGGGUGAGUAACGCGUAGGAAUCUACCCAGUAGCGGGGGAUAGCCCGGGGAAACCCGGAUUAAUACCGCAUACGCCCCACGGGGGGAAAGGCCGGGAUCUAUUUAUAGACCGGCCACUAUUGGAGGAGCCUGCGUUGGAUUAGCUAGUUGGUAGGGUAAAGGCCUACCAAGGCGACGAUCCAUAGCUGUUCUGAGAGGAAGAUCAGCCACACUGGGACUGAGACACGGCCCAG